RNAcentral lists this non-coding RNA (45 nucleotides) under Schistosoma margrebowiei. The record is from RNAcentral. Lineage: Eukaryota; Metazoa; Platyhelminthes; Trematoda; Strigeidida; Schistosomatidae.
AUUCAACUUACGAGUUCCAAAUAGGACAAAACGCGCAUCCUGAAU